RNAcentral lists this ribosomal RNA (501 nucleotides) under Pterospermum menglunense. RNAcentral's name for it is "eukaryotic LSU rRNA". The stretch from base 5 to 160 matches the Rfam family "5.8S ribosomal RNA". The record is from RNAcentral. Lineage: Eukaryota; Viridiplantae; Streptophyta; Magnoliopsida; Malvales; Malvaceae.
AAACGACUCUCGGCAACGGAUAUCUCGGCUCUCGCAUCGAUGAAGAACGUAGCGAAAUGCGAUACUUGGUGUGAAUUGCAGAAUCCCGUGAACCAUUGAGUCUUUGAACGCAAGUUGCGCCCCAAGCCAUUAGGGUGAGGGCACGCCUGCCUGGGUGUCACGCAUCGGCGCCCCCCAGCAACAACCCUUUUGGUUGUCUUGGAGGCGAACAAUGGCCUCCCGGGAGCUCUCUUACGGUUGGCCCAAAAACGAUUCCUCGGUAACGAUUAUUGCCGCGAACGAUCGGUGGUAAUACCUCGAGUGUUCCUUAUCCAUGUUCGUGCUUUGCCUAGUUGACCGGAAGGAAUCCUCAUUAACCCUGCUUUGCAUCGCUCGAACGAUGCUCGCUUCGCGACCCCAGGUCAGACGGGACUACCCGCUGAGUUUAAGCAUAUCAAUAAGCGGAGGAAAAGAAACUUACCAGGAUUCCCUUAGUAACGGCGAGCGAACCGGGAAGAGCCC